Molecule: long non-coding RNA, 1158 nt
Organism: Gorilla gorilla gorilla (western lowland gorilla)
Lineage: Eukaryota; Metazoa; Chordata; Mammalia; Primates; Hominidae
Exons: 4
Source: RefSeq, a predicted model, not a curated record
AACUGUGUUAGGGAUAAAAACCCCUGCCCUACCUGGCUAGGUGUGCUCUUGUGAUUGUGACUGACACAGGCAGCACCCUUUUGCAGAAGUAGAUGUGCGUUGCUGAGAAAUUUUCUGCCUAAGUUCUGGUUUUCUUUGCAGCACCCAGCAUUUGUUUCUAACACAGGGAAAGAGUGAGCUGUAAAAACCUCUCAAAUUCAAGAAAGCGUAAAGCAAAUUGAACAAUACGGGUGAGGUUAUGGGCACCUGGAGAAUGACGAAUUGAAAGAGAGACAUGUGCUAUGAUUUCAGAGCCUCAAAAAGGAGCACGGACUAUUCUCUCAUGUUGAAUGUGGCACUUUUUACAUACAAGCAGGAGAGCAACUACACCAAGAUUUUGGAAAACAUGUUAUGUAAGUUUUUAUUUUUAAAAUCAGGAGAGAAUUUCUGCAACAUUCUAUGACCACAGAUCCCUACCCAUCUGCGCUGGGGCACUUACAGAUCACCUUCUCUUCUGAACUUUGUAUGAAGUGACCAUGUCCCUCCUAUCCCUUUCCAUGUGCACAAGAUCAUGUCAUCUCUAGCUUAUUCAAAGACAUUGCCUUAGCAAUCUGCCCUUGCCUUCUGUUUCAUCAGUUUCUAAGCAACAACUGGAAAGGCCAAAGCCUUACAGGACCAGUCUGGCCAAGGAUAGCUACAGCAUCUUUCUCAUCUGUCUAGCAGGCAGUUUCUAUUAGAUCAUUCCCACAAGUACAUACAAGCAGACUUACAUUUCUCACCUCACACUUUAUAAUAAACAAACAACUCCCCAGGCACCCACUUCUCCUCUCCAGGUACAGCCCCAUUGUUAUCCUUUCCUCCACAACUAAACUUCUUAAGAGAAAUUUCUGUACUAGCUGUUUCCUAGUUCUUCCUCAUUUUCUCUUGUGACUUCACUCCAGUCAAUCCAAGAUAACCAUUGACCUUUCUGGUGUCAAAUCUAACAUUUAUUUUUUAGGCCAUAUCUUAUUUCAUCUUUCCACAACAUCUGAUACAGUUGAUUCCUCUACUUCACCUUCUUCACUUUGCUUGAAGGACACCACAGAAAUAGAACAUGGCCAGACCCAGAAGUGCCCCUGGGACCCUCUUCCAAUUACUAUCAUUUUCCUUCUCUCCAAGUGAGCCACUUUCUAGCUUUUU